RNAcentral lists this ribosomal RNA (247 nucleotides) under uncultured bacterium. RNAcentral describes it as "partial 16S ribosomal RNA". It matches the Rfam family "Bacterial small subunit ribosomal RNA", at positions 15 to 258 of the family's 1533-position model. The record is from RNAcentral.
GAUCCUGGCUCAGGAUGAACGCUAGCGGCAGGCCUAACACAUGCAAGUCGAGGGGCAGCACGGUGUAGCAAUACACUGGUGGCGACCGGCGCACGGGUGCGUAACGCGUAUGCAACCUACCCAUAACAGGGGGAUAACACUGAGAAAUUGGUACUAAUACCCCAUAACAUCAGGACCGGCAUCGGUUUUGGUUGAAAACUCCGGUGGUUAUGGAUGGGCAUGCGUUGUAUUAGCUGGUUGGUGAGGG